RNAcentral lists this long non-coding RNA (280 nucleotides) under Elaeis guineensis (African oil palm). RNAcentral describes it as "long non-coding RNA (EGUI_LNC046447)". Lineage: Eukaryota; Viridiplantae; Streptophyta; Magnoliopsida; Arecales; Arecaceae. The record is from RNAcentral.
GCAACCACUUAUCUUUAUCCUCUCACGCGGAUAAGACACGUUCGACGUUGUUUUAAAAAGAGGAGAAAGGUGGAACGUGUGUAGAAAUUUUAGGAGAGAAACUUUGGGGCAUGAGAAAAGUUUGUGCGCAAGGUGAAGGUCCAAAACCUUCCGAGAGAAAAAGAAAGAAAAGAAAGAAAAUUGAGCGCAGGGUUUCUAGUGUGUACCCUAGGGUUUCUACCUAGGGUUUGGGAAGUGAGAUUGGUGUGCCACGAGUGUCGUGAGUCCACCAAAUUUUAGG